UACUAUGCUUGUCUCUAAGAUUAAGCCAUGCAUGUCUAAGUACAGACCGAUAUAGACGGUGAAACCGCGAAUGGCUCAUUAAAUCAGUUAUAAUCUACUGGAUCUGUGACCAGUAACUUGGAUAACCCUGGUAAUUCUAGAGCUAAUACAUGCAAUCAAGCUCCGACCGAGAGGGAAGAGCGCUUUUAUUAGAUCUAAGCUAACGGCCAAUACGUGUCUUGUACGUGUCUGUUAGCGGUGAUGACUCCGAAUAACCUUGGGCUGAGCGCACGGUUAAGAACCGGCGCCGUAUCCAUCGAGUUUCUGCCUUAUCAGCUCGAUUGCAUUCUAUAGUACUGCAUUGGCUAUAACGGGUAACGGGGAAUCAGGGUUCGAUUCCGGAGAGGGAGCCUGAGAAACGGCUACCACAUCUAAGGAAGGCAGCAGGCACGCAAAUUACCCAUUCCCAGCUCGGGGAGGUAGUGACGAAAAAUACGGUUGUAGAUCUCUAAUAUAGAGGCUCUGCAACCUGAAUGAGUACACUUUAAAUCCUUGUACGAGGAUCAAUUGGAGGGCAAGUCUGGUGCCAGCAGCCGCGGUAAUACCAGCUCCAAUAGCAUAUAUUAAUGUUGUUGCGGUUAAAAAGCUCGUAGUUUGUUCUAUGACUUGAACUGACUGGGCACUUUGGUGUGAAAGGUCUGUUUAAGCAGAUGAAUGACUCGCAUGCGCCGACUCAAAGUAGCAGCGCGCGUAGUCAAGUAUUACUUUGAGGAAAUUUUAGUGCUCAAAGCAGGCUUAUGCCUGAGAAAUGUUGCAUGGAAUAAUGCUAUAGAACCUCGGUUUUAUUAAGGUAUUGGUCAAUAAAACCGUCGUUAAGAUUAAUAGAGACGGACGGGGGCUUACGUACUGCGACGCGAGAGGUGAAAUUCUUAGACCGUCGCAGACC
This 925-nucleotide ribosomal RNA is filed under the name Schistomysis assimilis. RNAcentral's name for it is "bacterial SSU rRNA". It matches the Rfam family "Eukaryotic small subunit ribosomal RNA", at positions 24 to 936 of the family's 1831-position model. Lineage: Eukaryota; Metazoa; Arthropoda; Malacostraca; Mysida; Mysidae. The record is from RNAcentral.